GACGAACGCUGGCGGCGUGCUUAACACAUGCAAGUCGAACGCUGAAGCUCAGCUUGCUGGGUGGAUGAGUGGCGAACGGGUGAGUAACACGUGAGUAACCUGCCCUCUUCUUUGGGAUAACGCCCGGAAACGGGUGCUAAUACUGGAUAUUCACUGAUUCUCGCAUGGGGGUUGGUGGAAAGGUUUUUUCUGGUGGGGGAUGGGCUCGCGGCCUAUCAGCUUGUUGGUGGGGUGAUGGCCUACCAAGGCUUUGGCGGGUAGCCGGCCUGAGAGGGUGACCGGGAACAUUGGGACUGAGAUACGGCCCAGACUCCUACGGGAGGCAGCAGUGGGGAAUAUUGCACAAUGGGCGAAAGCCUGAUGCAGCGACGCCGCGUGAGGGAUGGAGGCCUUCGGGUUGGAAACCUCUUUCGCGCAGGGUCAAGCCGCAGCUUGGGGUUGUGGUGAGGGUAGCGGGUAAAGAAGCGCCGGCUAACUACGUG
RNAcentral lists this ribosomal RNA (482 nucleotides) under uncultured bacterium. RNAcentral's name for it is "partial 16S ribosomal RNA". It matches the Rfam family "Bacterial small subunit ribosomal RNA", at positions 28 to 507 of the family's 1533-position model. The record is from RNAcentral.